GUUUUAAUGAACAGUCUCGGUUUAUACCUGUAUAUAUCCGGAGGAUGUUAAAUGAUUAAAUGUUUAAUUUUUAAUUAUUACAUCUUUCGUAAAUUUGUUAUAGUCUUGGAUUUAGGUGUUUGUAUAAUCCUGGCCACUGCCGUGCGUGACGUGUCAGAUUCCGGACAUUUUUUUCGCGACAAAGAGGCAAGUCUGGUCUGGACGAAGAAAGUUUUUUUACGGCUAAAGAGGAGUGAGGAAGUCGCGCACCUCGCUAAAGGAUUUAUUGCCAAAUUCCAUCCAUAUAAACAAGGAUGUCCACCAGGGGCCGCGUCAGGCCAGAUGAAAGUCUGAUGAUGAUGCAGGAACUUGACGACAGGCUGAAAGAGCAGAUUGACAAAUUGGAACAUGUUCGACUUGCUGCUGUUGAACUGAAAGACAGCUUGUCUGGGAGCAACAAUAAUCUAACCCAGUCUAUUAGUGACCAUAUGGAAUGGUUGAAUCACUUGUCAGACCGAGUGGAGACUCUUCACAUGAACACUACUGUUUUUGUUCAGAUGAAUCCAAAACCUCGUGCAUGGACAGGGAAAAUGGGUUCCAAAUAUGGCUACCACUGGGGACGUCUCCAUCAGGCAGAUGAUGCCCUGUCAGAAAUUGGUUGGUCGCCUGUUCGUACACGACGCAACAGUGAUGCUGCCUCUGAAAUGUCUUGUAACUGGUGA
Molecule: long non-coding RNA, 701 nt
Organism: Parambassis ranga (Indian glassy fish)
Lineage: Eukaryota; Metazoa; Chordata; Actinopteri; Ambassidae
Source: Ensembl